RNAcentral lists this unclassified non-coding RNA (345 nucleotides) under Hevea brasiliensis (rubber tree). Lineage: Eukaryota; Viridiplantae; Streptophyta; Magnoliopsida; Malpighiales; Euphorbiaceae. The record is from RNAcentral.
GGGAGAUUUCUCAGCGUGAGGCAUAGAGCUUUAACCAAUUCAUGCAAGUCUAGAAUGUCAAUGGCAUAUUUUGCUGCACCACCUCUCAGCACCAAGAUCACUGCACUACCACAGAUGCUCUCAGCCGUUAGGCCUUCAUUGUACAGGCCAUUCACUUGGGGUGACUAUAAGAAAGCUGCAUAUUCUCUACGCCUUGGAGAUACCCGUCUUGAUCUAUUCAUGAAAAGAGGAGAAGAGCUUGCUUGAUGGCAUGUGCGUAGUACAGUCACGAGCAAAUAUCCAAAUAUGUAGGGUUUAAUUUAUGUCCUUUUUGCACCCCUCCAGGGGAGUUUUGAUUAAGAUUCC